This 2072-nucleotide long non-coding RNA is filed under the name Gallus gallus (chicken). The record is from RNAcentral. Lineage: Eukaryota; Metazoa; Chordata; Aves; Galliformes; Phasianidae.
GCGGCAGCGACGACGACGACGACGAGCGGUCUCCAGAACUGACCUGAGGUGUGGGGGGGCCGGGGUGCGUCGAGUUCGGGCUGAGGUGUGAGGGAAGAGAGACGGCCCGAGCUAGUGUGAUCAGUCUGCCUGCCUCUGUGAUCCCCCGCAGCACUGGCUGGAAGUCCGCCGCGUGUCAGUGAGGAGCUGCUGCAGAAGGAAGAAGAAGAAGCAGCGGCGUGGGGACCUGGGAGGCAGGAGCAAGCAAGAAGAGGAAGCGGAAGCGUGCAGAUGUGGGGGGGAAGGAGAGAGGCUCCCUGGGCAAAGCACCUGUCCCGUUAGCAGGGGCACAGUCACGUUUGAGUUGAGAGCUGCCGGCGCCUUUGGUGACCAGGCUGGCGUUGUGCUGGGCGACCUCCCCGUAAGCGGGGCUCGGGUCUUUGCUGUAGUUGGCCUUUUGCCUUGCUGCUCCUUUGGCUGCCUGGGGAGCGUGGCCCCCUGUAACGGAGGGCGAGAGCCACCUCUCCGCACCUGAGUGGGAAAUGGAGCUCGCCGGACCCCGAGGCCACCCUGUAAGCAGGGUAGUGCCGUUUCCCUGCCCCUCUUCCUCCCCCGGCCCCUCGGCAUCGUUGCCUGAUGGUGGCUUGUCAAUGCGACGGCCCCGUACUCGGGGUGUGCGUCACGGCAUUUGGCCGUUGGCUUUACCUGAGAAGCCCCUUGGCACGUUGAGGUCUGUGGCCUCCGUGCAGCCUAGGGACAGGUCACAGGCUCUUGUCUGUUGCCCGUGGUUGUGGGUUUAUUCCCAGGUGUUGGCUGUGCUGCGUUGUCCUUCCCUUCUGGAAAGUCGUGCCUGUGUGUGCGUGUUCCCCUUCCUUUCCUUGAUUGUGUUUGUGGAGUGGUUGAGCGGCUGUGCUUUCCCUUUAGGCCUCCACAAAGAUGGCUGCAGCUUAGCUUUGACUUCCCAGGGGGGAAUGGAGGACUUUGGUGCAUGCCGCAAAAGGGGUGUUCCCUCUUAGUCCUGCGAGCGCAGCGAGUGUCCUGUCUUCCUACUAUUUUCCUUAGUGCAGAUCAGAGCCACACGGUAGUUCUGUGGCCAAGGCCUCCCUGUAGCCAGGGCUUGGGCCUGUCCUUGCGUGGCCGCCUGUCCUGCUGGCGGCGGUGACAGCCCCGUACUCGGGGUGUGUGUCCCAAGCUUCGGAGCCCUCUGUCCCUGAGCAGCCCGCCCGCCCUGUAAUCAGGUGUGGGGAGGCUGCAGCGUUGCAGCCGGCUGCUUUAGCCAUCCAGCUGGUGGGAGUGACCCCUCCCUGUCCCGUCAGAGGGUGCAGGUUGAGGUGCUGUUUGUGUGUGGGGUGACCUCCCCGCUCGGUGGGUCGAGGUAGCUCCCUGGGCUUCCAAAGACGAGACGUUGGUGAUGUUCUGGUGCUGCCGGGCGGGCCAGCCUGUAACUCAGGCGUUGGCGGGAGCCUCGUGCUCCGCGGGGCUUCUUGAAGAGGGUGAGGUGUGGGGGUACCGUCCUGUAGGCAGGGCUGUGUGUGCCCCCCGUGUGUGCUUGGUGAGCUGCGUUCUGAGAGACCCCCUGUACUCAGGUGGGAAUGUGGCCCCGGCCUUUCAGAGGCGCGGGGCCGUGAGAUGCGGGGUGGGGCUUGCGCCCUCCCUGGAAUCGGGGCUGGGAUCCCGACUGCGGCCUUUGGCCGUGCCGCCCCGCUGCCUGGCUGCUGAGAGUUGCUCCUGCCGCUGGGGGGGAAACCGAGCUCUGUGGCUCCAGGGGUGUUGUCCACCCGCCUGUAAUCAGGGUCUGGGUGCGUGAGCGUUUGUGCUCUGCUGGCAGCCUGUGUGGGGUGACCGCCCCGCUAGCGGGGUGUGGGUCGAGGUGCCCCGGACUGGGAGAGAAGGAGCCUCCCUCGGCCGUAGGGAUGGGGGCUGCCCUGUAAGUCAGGGAGCAUCUGUGUCCCGGAGUCCCAGGCCCUUUUCGAUGGCGGCAGUGGCCGGGGGUCCCCUGUAAGCAGGGAAGCUGACUCUUUGGCUGCUGCUUUUUGUGUGCCCAGCCCCAUUUGCCCAGUCUGCCCGCCUCUGUGAUCCCCCGCAGCACUGGC